GCUUCAUUAUUACAUUAGUUUAUUUUUUCAUAUUCGAAGAUCCAGAAUAUUACAUCAGUUUUUUUGGUUUUGAUAUGCAGAGAACUUUGAGAAUUAUGAAGUUUCCUUCAAAUUAUGUCCAUCACUCAACCUCGAGUACUGACGCCUCAAAGCUAUCGGAAAGUCAAGAAAGUAUUUCCUGUUACGGAUGAAGUCAAGUAAGGAGGUUGUGAUUUCCAAGUCGUACAGCCAUCUACUUUGGCUAUUUUGAGAUGAAGCAUGACUUGCUGCAAAUGGAAUAUCCAGCUCUAAUGAAACUCAAAGGAUUUUGACGAGGCUCAACAAUUAUUUGGGAAGUGAAAAGUUUUGAAGGUCUCUCUGCUCAAGUCGAGAAGGGAAAGUUGUUGAAUCGUUAAGUGGUAUUUAUUCUCAUGUUGGAUUGAGCAUCAUGACUAUGGAUGUAAUAGCUUGUAUGGUUCACUUUGGACUAGGCAUGCACAACUUUAAAAUGUGUCACAAGGGUCAAAUCCCUUUGGUUUUUUCAUAUGUUUUCUUCUUUA
This is a long non-coding RNA of Solanum tuberosum (potato), 539 nucleotides long. RefSeq lists it as uncharacterized. The transcript has 3 exons. The record is from RefSeq and is a predicted model, not a curated record. NCBI's taxonomy places the organism in Eukaryota, Viridiplantae, Streptophyta, Magnoliopsida, Solanales, Solanaceae.